Molecule: long non-coding RNA, 3293 nt
Filed under: Homo sapiens (human)
Lineage: Eukaryota; Metazoa; Chordata; Mammalia; Primates; Hominidae
Description: mir-100-let-7a-2-mir-125b-1 cluster host gene, transcript variant 19 (MIR100HG)
Source: RNAcentral
AGUGCGGGGCUAAGCAUGCUCAGUGUAAAUUCUCCUGGAGCCUGUCAAGCUAUGUUUGAACUCGUUCCAGGAUAGUGGAUUUACUUUUUUUUCCCCACCAGGAAGAAUACUCGAUUAGACUGCAUUUUGCCUUGCUUUUCCUUCUCCCUUUCUCUCUCUUUCUUUCUUUCUUUCUUUCUUUCUUUCUUUCUUUCUUUCUUUCUUUCUUUCUUUCUUUCUUUCUUUCUUUUUCUUUCUCUCUCUCUCUCUCUUUCUUUCUUUCCUUUCUUUUCUUUCUUUCCUCUUUCUCUUUCCUUCUUUCUUUUUUUCUUCUUUCUUUCCUUCCUUCCUUCCAUCUUUCUUUUCUUUCUUUCCAUUUUUUUUUUCCUCCAGAAGAAUGGAAACAGUAUUCUUUUCCGAUCAGUUCAGUAAUACAAUGUCCUUCAGUGUCCAUAUGAGCAUUUCAGUGGAGAAGAAAAGAAACUUUGCUACCUGGGAACUGAAGACUACUUAGUGAAGAUCCCGGUGUUACACAUCCAAUCGUUCACCUCCUUCCAAGACUAUGACAUUCCAGGAAACCUUCACUGCUAAGAGGAACUAAGAUCUAGAGUAUCUCCUCGAGGAAGUACAACUGACUUGUCUUUGGACAAAAUUGAGAAGAACUCAUAAACUUGGCUUCCUCGCUUCUGCUCCUCAGCUGGUCCUAUAGUACCCCUCCUCAGGAAUGUCUCCCCAGUGCAAGGACAAAGACUGAAGAGACUGCUAUAUUGAUGGACUCUCAAGCCAACUAUGAAGUUGAAACAAAGAAAGUGAUCACCUGAAGACACCUCCUCUGCUAAGAAACACCCCCAAAUUGUGCAGCUUCUGCCACUAGAACUCUCAGAACAAGAGACAAUCUUUUCAAGAAACAGAAAAACUCAAUAAUGACAUCUAGAUUUUCAUGAGCCAAGAACUUUCCCUUCCUCAUGUGUAUUCCUCUGUUUGUACUUAAAUUCAUGUGACAUUCAUUUUUUUCCUAGUAUGGAUAUGCUUAUUAAUGCACUUGUUUCAAAAUCCCAAAUUGCACAAAUGUGUUAAUAUUUUAAGAAACAAAAUGAAUCCUACAAGGAGAAUGAUUUUUAGCCACACAUAGGGUUGGAUCUUGAGAGUGACCUACAGAAUAAAAGUACUUUUAAAAUAAAGUAGUCAGAGGCUAUUCAAAGGGUAAAAUAAUCAUAGUACCACAUUGGUCCACUUGACACUAACCAAUCGAUCAUUUUUUUUUAAUCAAGAAAGCUAGAUUCUAUCAGAUAAAAUCACUGCUUCUAAAGAGUUUAAAUCUAGUUAGAAAAAGUUAUAGAAAUGUUUGCAAAGAUAAGUAACAGAUAGAGUCAGUAGAGGAUAAGAUCAAAAACAAAACCAAGCAAAAGAUGAGUUCAGGGGAGUUUGCCAUCAAGUUGGCAAAACUGACUUACUUAGGGAAGAAAGUUAUAAAACAGGAAAAUAUGAGAUGAACCUUGAGUGAUGUGGAAGAUUUAGAUAAAUGGAAAGGAAGGAGAAAAUGGAGUUCUUUAGGUGGUUGUAAUUGGAGGAGGAAAUGAAUACACACAUCUUGUUGACUUAAACCCAGACAUUCAGCAGCUCUCUAUACAUAUCUGGAAAAGACUGCACAGUCACCUCCUGUCUCUCACCCCAGGUAUUACUUAGAAUUAUUAUCAUAUUUCCCUUCCUUUAAAGUAAGUAAGGGUGAUUGGUGACAAUAUGGAGAACUAUGAUUUUUCCAUUAACCUAAUAAUAAUUGGUAUUUAUUGAGUUCUGUUAAGCAUUUUACAUAUUAACUCACUUAAGCCUUUCAACAGCCUUGCAAAAUAGGUAUUAUUAUCCCCAUUUUACAGGCAAGAAAACUGAGGUUUAAGUAACUUGCCGAAGUGCCAUAUACAGGGCUCACAUUCAGUAUUGCAGUUGCAAAGCUCAUGAUCUAUAGUGCCAAGUUGCAAUAUUGUAGUCAAUGUCACAAUUAUUACCCCUUUUUAUAUUCCUUGAUAUUUUUCCAUGGCAAACAAUUAGCUAUUUCAUUUAAUAAUCACCUAAAACUUUUCAGUCUUCUGAUUAAAAUUACGCUGGAGUGAUAGAAUGUAUUUUCAUGAUAGAAAUUGGGAAAAAAAAUGGGGAAUGAAGUUUAUCAGCAUUUCAGACUUGUUUUUUUUUUUUUUUUUUGCAAGACUUUGAUGAGAUUGUUCACUUUUGUCUAUGUAAAAUCCCAAAUCCUUGAGAAUAAAAAAGGGGGAGGUUUAAGUCACUUGUUGCAAUGCCCUUUUUAAUAGAGGCAAUAAAUCUAAAGGCCAUAAAUUUAGAGUGACUUACAGAAGAUCGAACUUUGGAGUGUGGCAGAGUAAGGGAUGGAAACCGGGCCCUCCAGUUCACUAUCAGUAGCUUUUGCACUGGUCUGCCCUUCCUAAAUUAAGUAUGCACUUCAAUUUGAUGAGUGGAAACAGUCUAUCUGGGCAGUAACCAGGGAGCUUUGUGCCUAGUAGAUUGCUUCUGUUCUGCACUUCUUUGGUUUCCCACCUCAAUGUAAAAAAUAGCUAGCAAUGAAGUCCAGAAGUUGUCAAUGGUUCAUCCCCAGAAGAAUGCAUAAUGUCCAAAGUUGUAUGUGUAUGAUGUCUUCAAUGGUAUUAAGUUAUUUCAAAUUCUUAGUUCACCUACAUAAAUCAUUUCUAACAAGCAUCUUCUUAACCAACUUUAUGCACAGUGUAUGUUUGUAAGUGCUUCUGCACGAAUGUUUAUACAUGACUGUUUCCAUAGUACUUAUGUUUUUAAAAAUAUUCAGUCAUUUCCUACUAUAAUCCUCAUGUAUCCAUGUAACUGACUCAAAAAUACUUCAGCCACAGAAAGCUAAAACUGAGCAAAUCUCAUUCUUCUUUUCCAUCCCCUUUGCAUGUGGCUGGCAUUUAGUAAUGAUUAAUAAUAUGGCCAGCUGAAUAACAGAGGUUUGAGACACAAUUCUUUCUCAAAGGAGUCAGCUAAGCUGGGUCUACUUAUGGACAAACAUCUAAAUGUGUGGAAGUAUCUGAUAUUUGACAAUGGUAAAUUUCCACUUAGCUAGCUAGCAUUGUCAGACUUCAAUCUCCUCAUGGCUCUGGCCGUCCUGUUUUAAGCAUGAUAAUUGUUGGCCACAUCUCACAUAGUUCUCAUUGAGUGAGUUCAUAAAUAAACAGGGUUUUUUUUUUUUUUUAAAGAGCAGCCAAGCACAAAGUGUGACUUUGUUGACAUUUUAUGUGACUUUGUCAUAUGUUCCUAACCCCCAAUAAAAGCAAUGUUGCAUCAACUGUGAA